GUUUGAUACUGCUGAGCCUUCUGUUUCUUUUAGGAAAGCAAGUUUUCUCUGAGCAGAAUCAGCAGUUUUCUAGUGCCAAUAAUGACCUGAGCUGGUGGCAUUUGGAUGAAGUUUUUAUUCUUGUGGUAAUUGUUAUUGUUGUCAUAAGCAUGGGGUCCAGUUCUCUGGUGGAGGAAGAACAGUACAUAUGGCAUUUCAUGACAUCCUCGCUUUAUUUGUUAUCUCUCCGGAAA
RNAcentral lists this unclassified non-coding RNA (233 nucleotides) under Hevea brasiliensis (rubber tree). Lineage: Eukaryota; Viridiplantae; Streptophyta; Magnoliopsida; Malpighiales; Euphorbiaceae. The record is from RNAcentral.